CUAGCAUAUCAAUAAGCGGAGGAAAAGAAACCAACAGGGAUUGCCCUAGUAACGGCGAGUGAAGCGGCAACAGCUCAAAUUUGAAAUCUGGCGCAAGCCCGAGUUGUAAUUUGUAGAGGAUGUUUCUGGCGACGUGCCUUCCGAGUUCCCUGGAACGGGACGCCAUAGAGGGUGAGAGCCCCGUACGGUUGGAUGCCUAGCCUCUGUGAAACUCCUUCGACGAGUCGAGUAGUUUGGGAAUGCUGCUCUAAAUGGGAGGUAUACGUCUUCUAAAGCUAAAUACCGGCCAGAGACCGAUAGCGCACAAGUAGAGUGAUCGAAAGAUGAAAAGCACUUUGAAAAGAGGGUUAAAAAGUACGUGAAAUUGUUGAAAGGGAAGCGUUCAUGACCAGACUUGAGCAGGUUGAUCAUCCGUGGUUCUCCGCGGUGCACUCUGCCUGCUCAGGCCAGCAUCAGUUCGUUCCGGGGGAUAAAGGCUCUGGGAAUGUGGCUCCUUCGGGAGUGUUAUAGCCCACUGCGUAAUACCCUGGGGUGGACUGAGGUUCGCGCUCUGCAAGGAUGCUGGCGUAAUGGUCAUCAACGACCCGUCUUGAAACACGGACCAAGGAGUCGUCUUCGUAUGCGAGUGUUCGGGUGUCAAACCCCUACGCGUAAUGAAAGUGAACGUAGGAGAGAGCUUCGGCGCAUCUCCGACCGAUCCUGAUGUUCUCGGAUGGAUUUGAGUAAGAGCAUACGGGGCCGGACCCGAAAGAAGGUGAACUAUGCCUGUAUAGGGUGAAGCCAGAGGAAACUCUGGUGGAGGCUCGCAGCGGUUCUGACGUGCAAAUCGAUCGUCAAAUAUGGGCAUGGGGGCGAAAGACUAAUCGAACCUUCUAGUAGCUGGUUUCCGCCG
This 892-nucleotide ribosomal RNA is filed under the name Clonostachys rosea. Its description in RNAcentral is "partial large subunit ribosomal RNA". It matches the Rfam family "Eukaryotic large subunit ribosomal RNA", at positions 34 to 963 of the family's 3401-position model. Lineage: Eukaryota; Fungi; Ascomycota; Sordariomycetes; Hypocreales; Bionectriaceae. The record is from RNAcentral.